Molecule: ribosomal RNA, 506 nt
Filed under: uncultured bacterium
Lineage: Bacteria
Description: partial 16S ribosomal RNA
Rfam family: Bacterial small subunit ribosomal RNA
Source: RNAcentral
AGUGAACGCUGGCGGUAGGCCUAACACAUGCAAGUCGAACGGCAGCACAGGAGAGCUUGCUCUCUGGGUGGCGAGUGGCGGACGGGUGAGGAAUACAUCGGAAUCUACUUUUUCGUGGGGGAUAACGUAGGGAAACUUACGCUAAUACCGCAUACGAGCUACGGGUGAAAGCAGGGGACCUUCGGGUCUUGCGCGAGUGAAUGAGGCGAUGUCGGAUUAGCUAGUUGGCGGGGUAAAGGCCCACCAAGGCGACGAUCCGUAGCUGGUCUGAGCGGAUGAUCAGCCACACUGGAACUGAGACACGGUCCAGACUCCUACGGGAGGCAGCAGUGGGGAAUAUUGGACAAUGGGCGCAAGCCUGAUCCAGCCAUACCGCGUGGGUGAAGAAGGCCUUCGGGUUGUAAAGCCCUUUUGUUGGGAAAGAAAUCCAGCUGGCUAAUACCCGGUUGGGAUGACGGUACCCAAAGAAUAAGCACCGGCUAACUUCGUGCCAGCCGCCGCCGUAA